Molecule: ribosomal RNA, 440 nt
Filed under: uncultured bacterium
Lineage: Bacteria
Description: partial 16S ribosomal RNA
Rfam family: Bacterial small subunit ribosomal RNA
Source: RNAcentral
CCUACGGGAGGCAGCAGUAGGGAAUAUUGCUCAAUGGGGGAAACCCUGAAGCAGCAACGCCGCGUGGAGGAUGAAGGUUUUCGGAUUGUAAACUCCUUUUGUUAGAGAAGAUAAUGACGGUAUCUAACGAAUAAGCACCGGCUAACUCCGUGCCAGCCGCCGCGGUAAUACGGAGGGUGCAAGCGUUACUCGGAAUCACUGGGCGUAAAGCGCGCGUAGGCGGGAUAGCAAGUCAGAUGUGAAAUCCUAUGGCUUAACCAUAGAACUGCAUUUGAAACUGUUAUUCUAGAGUAUGGGAGAGGUAGGUGGAAUUCUUGGUGUAGGGGUAAAAUCCGUAGAGAUCAAGAGGAAUACUCAUUGCGAAGGCGACCUGCUAGAACAUAACUGACGCUGAUGCGCGAAAGCGUGGGGAGCAAACAGGAUUAGAUACCCCAGUAGUC